ACGUAAACAUCAACAGAUAUAUAACAUCGUGAAAUAUUGUUAACAAAUACGAAUUUAUUUCACAUAUAAACAACACAAGUCAAACAUAUUCACAAAUAUAGCCAUGUAUGUGUAUAUAUAUAUCGUUCUUUUUCCAUUUUGCUGCUCAAAAGUUCUUUCCUUUGACAGGAAGAUGGCACUUCGAUCAAGACAGCCCUUAAAGAUGAGUAGUUGAGUACCUUCAAAAUAUAUUUUAUUCCCAUAACAUUAAGUUAACAUCCUUACCCUUCAAAAAGGAAAGGAAAAUAAAAAAGAACUAUUUUUCAUUUUUUUUCUUACUUUGAAUAUCUUCAUAUCUGAUUAUUUACUCAAUGUUAAAUACAUGCAGAGUAAACUUCUCUUCCUUUUUCAACUAUACAAAAUCUCAAAGUCCAAGUCAUCAUAAAUGAUAGAGAAGACCUUUAUUCUUUCUUUCUAAAUUGCAAGUUUUUCAACUACUAAGAGAGAGAAGGGAGAAGCUUUCUAUGCAACUUUCAACUACUCUGAGAGAGACAGAGAGAGGUAUUUAUAGACUACUUACAUAAAUUGGCAUUGAAAGUCACAAAUUAGAAGGCAGCAACUCCUGGCUUCCCACUCCUCUCUCAACAUUGAGUGUUGUGUAUAUUAAUUCACACUGGUGCAGCAUUCAAAUCCUUCCACCUAUCUAACUUCUACUCUUAAAAACUCAAGAAAGUCAAGCAUAAAUGUUUAUAGAAUUCAGCAUCAUCAUUGCAAACUUCAAGGCAAUGUCAAACAAAUCUUGUACCAUGCUCUUCUAUAUACAUAACCAAAAUGCAUACAGGAUUAUGAUGAAAGAAAAAUCAGAAGUGAAAUGAAGCUUACAACAGUAAUCGCAUCAGUUUUAGCUCUGCUGUUGAUCUCCCAAGUACUUGUAGAAGCAGGUACUGAACAUAAGCAAAAUCAUCAACAUGUAAGAAAAGGAUGGAAGGAUGAAGAAAAGAGAACUAGAAGCAGAAGCAAUGGAAGAAAAAGAAGAAGAUCUGAUUGUGAUCCAUUUUACCAAUACUUAUUUGGAACCUGUGGCCAGUGGCCUUUUCCAAUCUCCCCUUCAGAUAACCCAUUUUGGGCACCCUCAAGACCUCCUCUGCCUCCUUUAGUUUUUUCUCCUCCUCCAGUUUAUCAGCCAGCUCCCUUAGUUCCUUCUCCCCCUCCCCUUCUUGCAUCGCCACCACC
Molecule: long non-coding RNA, 1212 nt
Filed under: Cucumis sativus (cucumber)
Lineage: Eukaryota; Viridiplantae; Streptophyta; Magnoliopsida; Cucurbitales; Cucurbitaceae
Description: long non-coding RNA (CSAT_LNC001370)
Source: RNAcentral